GCACAGAGCACCCCAAGAGUCACACCACGCGCCUGAGAGCAUUGUACAAAUGCUUCUCAAACUCUGUCAGGCUUGGUGCUGUGACCACUUCUCUGGGAAGCCUGUUUCAGUGCCCAAACACCCUCUGGGUGAAGAACCUUUUUCUGAUAUCCAACCUAAACCUCCUCUGACAUAACUUCAGGACAUUCCUUCAGGUCCUGUCCCUGAUCACCACAGAGAAGAGAUCAGUGCCUGCCCCUCCUCUUC
Long non-coding RNA from Empidonax traillii (willow flycatcher), 246 nucleotides. RefSeq lists it as uncharacterized. The record is from RefSeq and is a predicted model, not a curated record. The transcript has 3 exons. Lineage: Eukaryota; Metazoa; Chordata; Aves; Passeriformes; Tyrannidae.